CCACGUCGUCCUCCUACUCCUCCUCAAUUCCACUUGUCAGUGCGGUGGACCCAACGGGCGUCGAGGGCGUGCGGACGGAGGUGGCGCAGAUCCAGGGUGGCCACAACAAUGGGCGCCCCCACCCCCUUCAUGCGCCACUGCCCAAUCCUCCUCUGAAUCUGUGGAAUGCAGAAGGGAUCCCAAUCAUGUUCGUGGGUCAUCGGACGAUCCACCGUCCCAGCUCCCUUAGCAUGCUGCCUACACUUCCUCUUCUUCGCCGCAAUAGUUGGAUCACCAGUUCAUCUAUUCGUUCGUGGACUGUCGCCGACUGCAUCCUGCUAGGGAGUUGCUCUGUUGCGAGGCUGGCUGUCCUAAUGGGAGGCUACUCCCGUGGCCGAAACGCAGUAUGCUGGUUGAUUAGGCCCAAGCGACCGGCCCAUUAAGCACCGAGGGAUGACGAGCGUUUGUGCGACACCGGUGCAGGUGCGAAGGCGACGGUUCGAGAGCGACUCCCCUGUUCUCCCCCAUCUACGGCGACGGCAGCACCAACAAUCGGAACCCCGCGGCGACCCCCUUCGCCCCAGCCUCCUCAUGCAGCAGCAUGGACGAUUGGGAUGGAGCUGCCGCCACCGUUCCUGGGCCACUUUGUAAGUUCGCGGAUUUCCUGCUCUACUCCUCACCUGGUCUUUCUCGGUUUUGAAUUCUAGGUGUUGUGUUUGUACUCUCCUAAAUGAUUUUGUGGAUGGACCUCACGUACUCGAAAAAGUAUGUUGUGACUGAAUCAAGAACAAGUAUAAUAUUUUCACUCCGAUGUCCAAUCUAUCACGAUGGUUCUUGAUCGACUGGUUAGAGAGAUAGAAAGCAAACAGAUGAUGGAGAAAAGCAUGAUGGGGCCGAGUAACAAGCACACCUGAUCCUCGUUGUGUGAUCUAAACACGGUUUGUUGUUUCUUCCUACUGAGAACUACAUGGACGUCAUGACAAGUUGUAAGAUUGAUUAGUUUGUGUUGGAUUUCCUCAUGACCGACUACCUUUCUUUGAACCCUUAAUACAGACACUAGAAUCUCUCACUGCAGGCGCAACAGAUGAAACUUUACUAUUGCAGGUGUGUGUCUUUGCAAGGUUAGCCCGAUACUCCAUUUUACAUUCAGUUAAAUGCAAUACCAUAUUUAUCAAUUGUUAAUAAUCUGAUUGCUGCUUCUACAUAAAAAGGUGAUUUUUUUUUUCAAAAUUAUUUCAUUGUUUAUGUUGAUUGAUGACAGAACAAACACUGGGAUUAUGGGCAAAUUAAUGACGAGCAUGAUUCUUGCACCUCCUAUUUCUUUGAGGCUUCAUGUCUUCACGAUCUUCUCAUUCAUGAGACCGGGCUGGAGCAAUGGAUCCUCCUCUUUUUUCUUCUUGAUUGAAUCCCGCACCAUUUUUUUCCAUGGUUGGAUCCCAUUAUGGGCGUGUUUACCUUGAUCAUCUCUUAUUGUUUUUUUUCUUCCAGUAUGUUCUUUUUGUAGCUUCAAAUGAAUGGAAGGCUGAAGGGUGAUAUAAGAAAUUAUUAUGGUAGUCACGAGGACAUCAGGCAAGAGGUAAUUGGUUUCAAGUGCCAUUAAUCAGACUGUAUCUAUUGUUUCAUACGAAUCCAUAUUGUUUAUGACGACCAACAAAAAUGAUGGCAUGAUAGAUAGACAGUGGUUCGGUAAUGAAAGGGACAUGAAUAGUUAACUAAUUGCUUAGCACAAGCCAAGUUUUUGCGGGAUAUGUGCACCAAGCAUUACAAUUAUUUUUCUAGCGGUAGCAUAAUUUCCGCACAUAAUUUUCUUCAACUGCUUGAUGGAAGGAACACACAGGAAUGUACAAGAGGAUGGUGUGCUAUUGAGAUGUUAAAAAGGUACCUUCUGGAUGUCAUUCCUUGUAUUUGAAUCUGUGAUGUCAAGUGUAGCCCUGGACAUGUACUCUUUAUUCCAUACAUUUGCAUGGCCACGAACACAUAUUGUAAGGCCACUGCACCAAUAUUUUUUUUCAUAUUUUUCAUCUUGGCAUGGCCUUUAGUGCAUCAUUGUUCUUGAUGAAAGUUUCAUUUCCAUGCUUCAUGUCAUAAUUUAUUUCUUUAAAUUCCUACCAUUUACCAAAUGGACGGGCGCGGCAAUGCGCGCCAUCAUGGUCUACUAUGUGUCAUAAAUCCUGUCGUCUUCAACGAUCCGGCGCCCCUAUCACACUGUGUAGCACUUGUCUAACCUGUACAGCGGGAGGCAAGCGAGCACCCGAAGAUGAUAAGGUGACACAUGUGACAAUUUUUCUGAAUCAAAUGUGAUUUUGCUAAUUUGUUGUAUCUUUUUUCACAAGUAUUUGCAAAGGUAAAGAUAGUGGAUAGUACCAACAUUUAUUCCACCUUUUCAUUUUUCAUUAUGUACAUGUGCUUCCAGACGAAUAGCGCGAUAGGUGUCAGGUAUUCAUGGUCUGUUCUUUGUUUCAUUAUUUUCAUACGAUGUAGUAUUUAUAUUCUGUUGCAUUAUUCAUACAUGAUAUUCUUUGCAAUGACUGUAAAUGCAAAGGGAGAUCUCAGUUUCCUUGGCAAAUUCUGGACAUGCUAAUCCCCAUCCACCUCCUUAGUUCAGAGUCAUUGUUCUAUAUUAGUGGAGAUUAAAAAUAAUUCUGACUAUCCUUUCCGGAAAUUAGUUGGUGGUGUCAAGUGUAGACUAAGAUUUGAUCUGGCUAUACUUUCCACAAUUAUGUACAUCUCAUCCGUAAGAUAGAAAGAGAUCAAUUGAUAGCAUAUAUUUCAGUAAAAGGUAAAUUACAGCCUUUGUUGAACCAUUGAUUUGCAAGUAUCUAAGAUCAAGACUGGCCUACUAAAUGAGGAACCAACAUCGCUGAGAUUCAACAUUCAGGAAUGUAUCACAUACGGAAAAUCCUCUAAAACCGACUAGACUGUUAGAAUUGUUUUUGAUAGUCUUUUGUUUGAAUUUUGAAGUGUGAAUAAGCAGGAAACCUUUGAGAGAUAUCAGUGCAUCAUUUCUUAUACAAUUUCUAUUAACUUUUUCUGAAUGGAUGAUCUUUAUUUUAACUAUUAACUUGGUUGUCAUCCAGGAGUUACGUUUUUGUAAUCUAGAAUAUCAUCCUAUAGUUUUUAAAUUGUUUGCAUAGCGUGAAAGUGUUUAUUUUAAUAAGGCACAAAUAUGUACUCUCUCCGUCCCAAAAUAAGUUACUCGACUUUGUACUAACUUUAGCACAAAGCCGACUCACUUAUUUUGGAACGGAUGGAGUAGCACAUAAAGGAGAUGCAUGCUGUUCUAAAUGGAUACUUUUUCUCUUUGUUGGUUAGCUUCACGAACCAAUAAUUCUGAUAGCCAGUAAUCUGCUCACGUCAUUCCUUAUUAUACAAUUUUCCAUCCUACAAUAGUAGUACACUUUCUCCGGUGCUAAUAUGUUGAUAUCAUGGUGACAUCUUUAGCUCAUGUUUAAUCUUGCCAGAACUAAGCUGGUUUAUAAAGUAUUAAAUUCCCUCUGUAUUUUAUUAUUAUGAAUCUAAUGCUUUAUUGAUUUGUUUUUGGCUUCGAGAUGUCCUACAACAAUAUACAUAAUAGGAAUCUCUCUGAAUCGUAGUUCUACUUUAGAAUAAGCCGCAAGAAAGUGAGUGGGAUAAAACUGUUGCCAUUAUCGAUAUACUCUUCCAGCUCGUAGGCGGUGCCCGCUGUAACUCCCAUGUGUGGCCUUACCGCCAUCAUCAGUCCUUCAACUUGCGAAGAUGAAAAGCAGCAUGAAUCCAAGAAGGAACUAAUUAAUUUUUUCCAAGACUGAUUUGUUUUUUGUAUCUUCGCUCCAAGUUUGUAUCUCCACCAUGUUCACUUGGACAAUGUUUAUAUGUACCUUCCAAGAUCACCCAAGAAAAUUAGACAUUCUGAAAUCUUCAUCGGAUGUUUGAUUCCAUUUUUGCUAUAAAAUAGACUAAAUAGGCUAUGACAUUAUCUUCUCUAUGAAGAAGUUGUUCAUCCA
This is a long non-coding RNA of Hordeum vulgare subsp. vulgare (domesticated barley), 3962 nucleotides long. RefSeq lists it as uncharacterized. The transcript has 2 exons. NCBI's taxonomy places the organism in Eukaryota, Viridiplantae, Streptophyta, Magnoliopsida, Poales, Poaceae. The record is from RefSeq and is a predicted model, not a curated record.